This 459-nucleotide ribosomal RNA is filed under the name uncultured bacterium. Its description in RNAcentral is "partial 16S ribosomal RNA". It matches the Rfam family "Bacterial small subunit ribosomal RNA", at positions 338 to 795 of the family's 1533-position model. The record is from RNAcentral.
CCUACGGGUGGCAGCAGUGAGGAAUAUUGGUCAAUGGGAGGAAUCCUGAACCAGCCAUGCCGCGUGCAGGACGACGGCUCUACGAGUUGUAAACUGCUUUUGUACCGGGGUAAAAUGCUCUACGUGUAGGGUUUUGAAAGUACGGUACGAAUAAGGACCGGCUAACUCCGUGCCAGCAGCCGCGGUAAUACGGAGGAUGCGAGCGUUAUCCGGAUUUAUUGGGUUUAAAGGGUGCGCAGGCGGUCUGUUAAGUCAGCGGUAAAAGCCCGGGGCUCAACCCCGGCCCGCCGUUGAAACUGGCAGUCUCGAGUUGGGGAGAAGUAGGCGGAAUGCGCGGUGUAGCGGUGAAAUGCAUAGAUAUCGCGCAGAACUCCGAUUGCGAAGGCAGCAUGCCGGCGCCACACUGACGCUGAGGCACGAAAACGUGGGUAUCGAACAGGAUUAGAUACCCUAGUAGUC